GAUGAACGUUGGCGGCGUGCCUAAUACAUGCAAGUCGAACGGAGAUUGUAGCAAUACGGUCUCAGUGGCGAACGGGUGAGUAACGCGUUGGUGACCUGCCCCGAAGUGUGGAAUAACAGAUCGAAAGAGCUGCUAAUACCGCAUAAUAUCCAGAGGACUAGAUGCCUUUGGAUUAAAGGAUUUAUUCGCUUCGGGAGGGGCCUGCGUCCCAUCAGCUAGUUGGUAAGGUAAAGGCUUACCAAGGCUAUGACGGGUAGGGGACCUGAGAGGGUGGCCCCCCACAAUGGAACUGAAACACGGUCCAUACACCUACGGGUGGCAGCAGUAGGGAAUAUUAGUAAUGGGCGAAAGCCUGAACUAGCAACGCCGCGUGUGCGAAGAAGGCCUUGGUGUUAAGCACUUUUGUAGAGGAUGAGGAAGGACGGUACGUCUCAGAAUAAGUACUCGGCUAACUACGUG
Molecule: ribosomal RNA, 459 nt
Filed under: uncultured bacterium
Lineage: Bacteria
Description: bacterial SSU rRNA
Rfam family: Bacterial small subunit ribosomal RNA
Source: RNAcentral